This 358-nucleotide unclassified non-coding RNA is filed under the name soil metagenome. RNAcentral describes it as "partial contains 5.8S ribosomal RNA, internal transcribed spacer 2, and large subunit ribosomal RNA". The stretch from base 1 to 120 matches the Rfam family "5.8S ribosomal RNA", at positions 35 to 154 of the family's 154-position model. The record is from RNAcentral.
GAUGAAGAACGCAGCGAAAUGCGAUAAGUAAUGUGAAUUGCAGAAUUCAGUGAAUCAUCGAAUCUUUGAACGCACAUUGCGCCCGCCAGUAUUCUGGCGGGCAUUCCUGUCCGAGCGUCAUUUCAACCCUCGAACCCCUCCGGGGGGUCGGCGUUGGGGACCUCGGGAGCCCCUAAGACGGGAUCCCGGCCCCGAAAUACAGUGGCGGUCUCGCCGCAGCCUCUCCUGCGCAGUAGUUUGCACAACUCGCACCGGGAGCGCGGCGCGUCCACGUCCGUAAAACACCCAACUUCUGAAAUGUUGACCUCGGAUCAGGUAGGAAUACCCGCUGAACUUAAGCAUAUCAAUAAGCGGAGGA